AAGUUACUUUUCCUUCUUCUGUCUCAAACCAAAACCAACCACUAUGGCCAUUCAAGCUUUUCAUGGCUCUUCUUGUUGUUUCCGUUCCCACCUUUACUCUUCCUUUUCUUCUUCCACCACUGCGUCUCCAUCAUUGCUUGCUACAAGGAGGUUCCAAUCAUACGCUUCAACAAGAAAAUCUCUGAAGUUGAACUGCAGUUCAAGUGGCAACAAUGAUGACCAAUGCAGGAUUAUCUUCUGGAUGCUCCAGUUUCUGUUGGAGAUGGAUUCUCUUUCAGUGGAGGAAAAUAUUCAGAUGAGCCUAGUCCGAGUGAUGAAUGGUUUAAGCAAGGGAAAAUGGUUAACGCCUAUUCAAUUCCUGGCACUGGUGAAAAGGCUAAAGAUCCAAUUUUUGGACUCACCAUGGGAGCUGGUUCUCAAGCUACUGGUGAUCUUUUCAGGUAAAAUACAAUUAUAUUUAUGUGUCCAAUGAUUUUCUAUCUUCAUGUUGAAGAACACAAAAAUUAAAAGAAGAGAAAAGUGAAAUACUGAAAUUGGAAAUGGCAAAUGGGGAAACUGGCUGCUGAUAUUGGAGUUAAACUUGAAUAUGUAAUAAUAGAUGAAUAAAUAAUGCUAAGUGACUUAUUCCAUUUGUAGGGUAUAAUUGCAACUUGCAAGUAGAAAUGAGAAAUGGUACUAUUUUCAGGCUUACUAAUUCAAUAAUAUUUCGUCAAUACGAUUUCAAACAUUAGAUGGUUUUGUGUUGAAAGCGGAAGAGCUGACAAUCCUUCAGUGAUAUUAAUCCAUGGUUUCCCUUCUCAGGUGAGUUUUAUUUGUCAACAAUGUAUAGGAGGACCCUCUAGAAUCAUGUUGUUGUAUGAAAUUUUAAUCGGUGCUUUCUUAAUUUUAAAAGUCCAAUUAUAUGGAUGUGAUCAAUCUGCUUAGUUUUCUUAGCUAAUUGCCUAAUUCUAAUCAAUAAUUCCAAUCCAAGGCAAGCUUGUGUCCAUGAACAGCAACGAUCUGAUUUGAAUUCUUUUAGAAAUUUAAUCCAUGUUCAUUAUUCUAUAGGUGAGUGAAAGAAUUGUGAUAUGUCAUGAUAAUAUAAACAGAAGAAGAUUCAUUUUGAAAUGUGUUUUGUGCUAGUAAAUAGUGGUUGGAAUGGAAUAAUAGUCUGUUUAUUAACGGAGAUGUUAAUUAAGCUUUAUAAUUAGUCCUUGAUAACUAUUGUUACGAUUGUAGUUAAUAAUUGUUAAUUAGCUUUAUAACUAGUCCUUGAUUAUCUCUUAUAUGCAAGCACUUACAGUAUAAAUAUGAUAGAUUAUGCACACUUGUCCUACAAUUUCUCUCAAAGACUGUCUAUUUCAGCAUGGCAUUAUGGUUACUGUGACCUUUGUGCCGUGUAUCUUGUCUCUAUUGUCUUGAGUUUCUAUAGAAUUCGUACUUAAAGUUUGGAGUUCAGUUGUGAACUUUGUGAUUGCUGUGGCAAUGGCUAAAAAGUAUAAAGAAGCUGAAGGAAAUACAGUGGUUAUGUUGAGCUGCUUGUCAUACUUAUUGCAAUUUGCUACAAUGGGAACAAAUGGAUGAUGUGACUUGUGACUAUGGCGUUGAAAUGCAAACCAUCAUGCCUUUUCGAUCUUUUCUUUCUUCUUUGAUCUGGUUCUAAGAUGGAGUUUUGGAUAAGGUGUUAUAUGAUGCUAUGAGCGAUUGCUUUUGUUGAAGUCCCAUAUCAACUAUAGAUAUGGCCAAAUUAGAACUUUUAAAGACUAAAAUUAUGAGCUAGCUUUUAGGAUUGAGUUAGGCUUAAGCCCACAAAUUUAAGAGCUUCAUAGAGUGAUCACAGAGGUGGUGGUGCAGGGUUGAUUUAUUUUCAUCACUGGUUAUGAUCAAGGGUGUUGCAACAUCUUAGAUAACUUAAUCUUAAUUGAUUACAAGGAGAACUAAGGACUUUUUAUAACAUUAGGCUAGAAAUUGGAACCAGGAGGGAUCCCUAAAUAAGUAGGAAACUAAUGAGCAAACUAAAUUAUCCAGGGAGCUACUGAAUACAGAAUAUUUACAAUAAAGAAAGGUAUUGGGGUGAACUGAUAAAUAUAUUUUUGAAUUAAUUAAAAAAUGCUGAAUAAAAUAUAAUUCAACUUUGUGACACUACACAACAACCAUCACCAAGAGUGUCAUUCAAUCCCAAUGAGACAUUUAAAGCCAUUGACCCAAAGUAGCCAAUUGGUUUAGAGUUGAUGUUUUGAGCUUUGGCUUGGUGAUCUGUAUACUGUGUUGUCAAUGAAGUGUGUGUUAAAGACUUCAGGCACUUGUAAAGGACUUUCUUUUUGUGUGUUGAAGGGUGGUAUAAGACUAAAUGUUGAGAAGACCAGCUUAGAGAUUGAGUGGACCACUGAGGAGGAGAAAGGGUGUAGACUUCUAAUGCUGUGUCAUGUGCUAGGGAAGUCUUGAAGAGAAGCUGGAAGUAGGUCAAGGUUAGGGAGAAAAGUCAAAGACCUAUGAGAGAUAUUUACUAAUGACAUUGGCUAAGACUAAAAGUGGUAUUAUUCAGUGAAAGUGUUAAUUGCCCUAAUUCCUUGUCAGAGAUAGGAUGAUUUGUUUCUUUUAUUUUUCUGUCAGUGUGUAUAUUUGGACCAAGCUGAGAGGUUAGUAAGCAUCAUGAGUGGUAGAAUAAGAGUGUGCUUUAUUAGCACAUGUUAGAAUAUUAGAAGUUAUGACUGUAGUCAAUAGCUGCUUAUUAAUCCUGUAAUUGGUUCUUCAUUUGCUCUUGUAUUGACUGAACUCAGCAAUCAUAAGAUGGUUUGAGUGUACACAUGGCACAAAAAUGAUUUUUUAUCCCAAAUAUAUUAGAUAUAUUGAGACACCAAUUUUACUGGCAAAUUGAUGAUGCUGCCAGGCAUAUUCAUACCGCAAAGUUCUUCCAGUACUGUCCAAGGACUAUCAUGCCAUAGCAUUUGAUUGGCUAGGAUUUGGGUUUUCUGAUAAGCCUCAACCCAGAUAUGGGUUUGACUACACUCUGGAUGAAUAUGUGACAUCAUUUGGGUCACUUAUUGAUGAACUGGCUGUUGCUAAUGUCUCACUUGUUGUCCAGUUAAAUAUGCCAGCACUCACCAGGAAAAGCUUAGCAACUUAAUACUCCUUAAUCCACCUCUAACAGCCCUACAUGCCAAGCUUCCAUCAACAUUGUCCAUAUUCAGCAACUUUCUGCUAGGUGAAAUAUUUUCACAGGAUCCCUUAAGGGCCAGUGACAAAGCUCUGACAAGCUGUGGCCCCUAUAAAAUGAAAGAAGAAGAUGCAAUGGUCUACAGAAGACCCUAUCUCACAUCUGGUUCCUCAGGCUUUGCACUUAAUGCAAUUAGCAGGAACAUGAAGAAAGACCUCAAGCGGUAUGUGGAGGAUAUGCAAACAAUACUUAAGGACCAAAAUUGGAAAGUUCGAACUUCAAUAUGUUGGGGCCAAAGAGACCGUUGGUUGAGCUAUGAUGGAGUGGAAGAUUUUUGCAAGGAUUCUAACCAUACACUCAUUGAAGUUCCAAUGGCAGGUCAUCAUGUGCAGGAAGAUGGGGGUGAAGAAGUUGGACAACUUAUUUAUGGGAUAUUGAGCAAAAGGAAGUAGAUAAUGAGGAUAUUUUCCAUUGCUUGUUAAUAUGCUCAAAACUUUGGUUAUAAUGGUUCCUAAUCUUUUCUUGGUCUCUAUCCUGAUAAAUCUACAUUUAUUGCCAGUCUUGCUU
Molecule: RNA transcript, 3703 nt
Organism: Abrus precatorius (Indian licorice)
Lineage: Eukaryota; Viridiplantae; Streptophyta; Magnoliopsida; Fabales; Fabaceae
Exons: 11
Source: RefSeq, a predicted model, not a curated record